This 67-nucleotide transfer RNA is filed under the name Fasciola gigantica. RNAcentral's name for it is "tRNA-Thr". It matches the Rfam family "tRNA". Rfam says of the family: Transfer RNA (tRNA) molecules are approximately 80 nucleotides in length. Their secondary structure includes four short double-helical elements and three loops (D, anti-codon, and T loops). The record is from RNAcentral. Lineage: Eukaryota; Metazoa; Platyhelminthes; Trematoda; Plagiorchiida; Fasciolidae.
GCGAAAGUUUAGCUAGUAGAGCAUCUGCCUGGUAUGCGGAGGGGUGCCGGUUCGAUUCCGGCUCGCA